GUGUGGUUCCUCUCAGUGGGGCCUGGCAGUUUGUCCUUGGCAGGCCAUUUCUGCCACCCAGAAAGAAGCACAGCUCUGGGUACCAGAGGAACUCCUGAUCUCCUAAGGCAGUUUCCAAAAGUGGUAGAAGACUUGAUCGUCUUGAUGAAAACAGCAUGGAGAAUGUCUUCAUCAACUUAUUUUCUUCAAGAAAACAGAGCACGAUGGUCAUGGAGGCACAAUGUGCUGGCAUCGCCCUGUAACCAAGAAGAGGGCGGUGACAUCUGAUAGGGUCUCCCUUGUUCAGGUUACUUCCCAUUAGGCCCCAAGACGUUCACUUUCAUUUCUCAGCUGCUCCUCAUAGCAGGAAGAAAUCACUUCCCCCAGAGGCUCUGCUUUGUUUUGAUUUCCUACCUUGAGAGAGGAACAGGAAUCCUCCCCCCGCCCCAUAAAGAGAUACACAGAAGGUGUCUUCUUUUCUGCCCACUUCUACCUACUCAGAAGCUGGAGAGAGGACAUCCCUGUUUUCCACGGGUGUGCAAACCCAAGCUGCUCAUCUGGGUCAUCAGACAGAGCCUCAGCCUCACCUACAACAGCUUGCCUUGAAGGGACACAAAGUGUCCAGAGAUAAAUUACAAUUUUGUCUCCCCCAAGUUAAAUACUUAGGGCACACAAUUUCCCCAAAGGGACUUCUUAUAAACCCAGAAAGAAUCUCUGCCAUCAUGGCCUUUCCUUUGCCCAAAACAAAAAAACAAUUAAGAGGGUUCUUAGGGCUAACAGGCUACUGCAGAAGUUGGAUUCCAAACUACUCAUUAAUGGCCCAGCCCUUAUACAAAAACUAAAGCAUCACCAACCAGACCCAAUUUGCUGGGGGGAAAGGGAAAAGCAACACACAGGAUUUUAAUCAAGCUCUUACCCAGGGAUCUGCUUUAGGACACCCCAAUUGUAGCCUCCUUUUUUCCUUUUUAUACAUAAAAUAAAUGGAAAUGCGCUUGGAGUAUUAACUCAAAAGCAUGGCGACAGUCACAGGCCAGUUGGUUAUUUCAGCCAACAGUUAGACCCAGUAGCAAAAGGACACCCCCCUUGUAUGAGAGCCAUAUCAGCUGCAGCCAUUUUAUGUAAAAAAAUUGAGGAAUUUGUCCUGGGGUCCCCACUAAUAAUUUAUGCCCCUCAUUCUGUGGAAUCUCUCCUAAACUCUCACCACACUCAACACUAUUCUGUAAGUCGCCUUGCCUCCUAUAAAGUGCUUUUGCUUUCUGCCCCUAACAUCACUUUAAAGCACUGCAAUAUUCUUAACCCUGCAACUCUUCUCCCUCUUCCAGGUGAGCAAGAAGAAAAACAUGACUGCAGUCUACUAACUGAUAUCUUACUCUCUCCUAGAGCAGAUUUGCAAAAAACACCUAUCAAAAAUGCUAAAUUAAUUUGGUUUACAAAUGGUUCUUAUUUAAAGGACCAUCAGGGACAUUAUCAGGCGGGAUAUGCUGUCACUUCCACAGUAGACAUAAUAGAAAGCGCCCAACUCAAAGGAGUAAAAUCAGCCCAAAUGGCUGAAUUAAUAGCAUUAACUUGCCGGAGCCAGCCGGCGACGUGCGGCACCUGGAGUUAGGGGGCAAGGCUGAGAAAUGAAGAGACAACAAAAAGAUGAGGACGG
Molecule: non-coding RNA, 1630 nt
Organism: Microcebus murinus (gray mouse lemur)
Lineage: Eukaryota; Metazoa; Chordata; Mammalia; Primates; Cheirogaleidae
Source: RefSeq, a predicted model, not a curated record